UACAGAGGGUGCAAACGUUGUUCGGAAUCACUGGGCGUAAAGCGUGUGUAGGCUGUCAGGCAAGUCGGAUGUGAAAGCCCCGGGCUCAACCCGGGAAGUGCACUCGAUACUGCCUGACUUGAGUAUCGGAGAGGUUGGUGGAAUUCUCGGUGUAGAGGUGAAAUUCAUAGAUAUCGAGAGGAACAUCUGUGGCGAAGGCGGCCAACUGGACGAAUACUGACGCUGAGACACGAAAGCGUGGGGAGCAAACAGG
RNAcentral lists this ribosomal RNA (253 nucleotides) under uncultured bacterium. Its description in RNAcentral is "partial 16S ribosomal RNA". It matches the Rfam family "Bacterial small subunit ribosomal RNA", at positions 524 to 776 of the family's 1533-position model. The record is from RNAcentral.